AGUGAACGCUGGCGGUAGGCCUAACACAUGCAAGUCGAACGGCAGCACAGUAAGAGCUUGCUCUUACGGGUGGCGAGUGGCGGACGGGUGAGGAAUACAUCGGAAUCUACUUUUUCGUGGGGGAUAACGUAGGGAAACUUACGCUAAUACCGCAUACGACCUACGGGUGAAAGCAGGGGAUCUUCGGACCUUGCGCGAUUGACUGAGCCGAUGUCGGAUUAGCUAGUUGGCGGGGUAAAGGCCCACCAAGGCGACGAUCCGUAGCUGGUCUGAGAGGAUGAUCAGCCACACUGGGACUGAGACACGGUCCAGACUCCUACGGGAGGCAGCAGUGGGGAAUAUUGGGCAAUGGGCGAAAGCCUGAUCCAGCCAUACCGCGUGGGUGAAGAAGGCCUUCGGGUUGUAAAGCCCUUUUGUUGGGAAAGAAAAGCAGCAGGUUAAUACCCCGCUGUUCUGACGGUACCCAAAGAAUAAGCACCGGCUAACUUCGUG
Molecule: ribosomal RNA, 492 nt
Filed under: uncultured bacterium
Lineage: Bacteria
Description: partial 16S ribosomal RNA
Rfam family: Bacterial small subunit ribosomal RNA
Source: RNAcentral